GUGGGGAAUAUUGGACAAUGGGCGAAAGCCUGAUCCAGCCAUGCCGCGUGUGUGAAGAAGGCCUUUUGGUUGUAAAGCACUUUAAGCGAGGAGGAGGCUACCGAGAUUAAUACUCUUGGAUAGUGGACGUUACUCGCAGAAUAAGCACCGGCUAACUCUGUGCCAGCAGCCGCGGUAAUACAGAGGGUGCAAGAGUUAAUCGGAUUUACUGGGCGUAAAGCGCGCGUAGGUGGCCAAUUAAGUCAAAUGUGAAAUCCCCGGGCUUAACUUGGGAAUUGCAUUCGAUACUGGUUGGCUAGAGUAUGGGAGAGGAUGGUAGAAUUCCAGGUGUAGCGGUGAAAUGCGUAGAGAUCUGGAGGAAUACCGAUGGCGAAGGCAACCAUCUGGCCUAAUACUGACACUGAGGUGCGAAAGCAUGGGGAGCAAACAGGAUUAGAUACCCUGGUAGUCC
RNAcentral lists this ribosomal RNA (451 nucleotides) under uncultured bacterium. Its description in RNAcentral is "bacterial SSU rRNA". It matches the Rfam family "Bacterial small subunit ribosomal RNA", at positions 354 to 796 of the family's 1533-position model. The record is from RNAcentral.